UCCCUGGAGGACUAGUGGUUAGGCGCUCUCGCUCUCAUUGCCAUGGCCUGGGUUCAAUUCCCGGCCAGGGAA
Molecule: transfer RNA, 72 nt
Filed under: Pangasianodon hypophthalmus (striped catfish)
Lineage: Eukaryota; Metazoa; Chordata; Actinopteri; Siluriformes; Pangasiidae
Description: tRNA-Glu
Source: RNAcentral